AGUGAACGCUGGCGGUAGGCCUAACACAUGCAAGUCGAACGGCAGCACAGAGGAGCUUGCUCCUUGGGUGGCGAGUGGCGGACGGGUGAGGAAUACAUCGGAAUCUACUCUGUCGUGGGGGAUAACGUAGGGAACCUUACGCUAAUACCGCAUACGACCUACGGGUGAAAGCAGGGGAUCUUCGGACCUUGCGCGAUUGAAUGAGCCGAUGUCGGAUUAGCUAGUUGGCGGGGUAAAGGCCCACAAAGGCGACGAUCCGUAGCUGGUCUGAGGGUCUGAUCAGGCACACUGGGACUGAGACACGGUCCAGUCUACUACGGGAGGCAGCAGUGGGGUAUAUUGGACAAUGGCCGCAAGCCUUAUCCAGCCAUACCGCGUGUGUGAAGAACGCCUUCGGGUUGUAAAGCCCUCUUGUUAGGAAAGAAAUCCAUCUGGUUAAUACCCGGGUGGGAUGACGGUACCCACAGAAUAAGCACCGGCUAACUUCGUGCCAGCCGCCGCGGUAA
This 506-nucleotide ribosomal RNA is filed under the name uncultured bacterium. RNAcentral describes it as "partial 16S ribosomal RNA". It matches the Rfam family "Bacterial small subunit ribosomal RNA", at positions 29 to 523 of the family's 1533-position model. The record is from RNAcentral.